CUGAAUAACUCAGCUGAUCGUACGGUCUCGUACCGACGACGUAUCUUCCAAGUGUCUGCCUUAUCAACUUUUGAUGGUAGUUUAUGCGACUACCAUGGUUGUAACGGGUAACGGAGAAUAAGGGUUCGACUCCGGAGAGGGAGCCUGAGAAACGGCUACCACAUCCAAGGAAGGCAGCAGGCGCGCAAAUUACCCAAUCUCAGUUCGAGGAGGUAGUGACGAAAAAUAACAAGACGGUUCUCUAUGAGGCCCGUUAUUGGAAUGAGUACAAUUCAAACCCUUUAACGAGGAUCUACGAGAGGGCAAGUCUGGUGCCAGCAGCCGCGGUAAUUCCAGCUCUCGAAGUGUAUAUCAUUGUUGUUGCGGUUAAAAA
RNAcentral lists this ribosomal RNA (373 nucleotides) under Nematoda sp. RNAcentral's name for it is "SSU rRNA". It matches the Rfam family "Eukaryotic small subunit ribosomal RNA", at positions 252 to 625 of the family's 1831-position model. The record is from RNAcentral. Lineage: Eukaryota; Metazoa; Nematoda.